UACGUAGGGGGCAAGCGUUGUCCGGAAUCAUUGGGCGUAAAGAGCGCGUAGGCGGUCCGGUAAGUCCGCUGUGAAAGUCAAGGGCUCAACCCUUGAAUGCCGGUGGAUACUGCCGGGCUAGAGUCCGGAAGAGGCGAGUGGAAUUCCUGGUGUAGCGGUGAAAUGCGCAGAUAUCAGGAGGAACACCAAUGGCGAAGGCAGCUCGCUGGGACGGUACUGACGCUGAGGCGCGAAAGCGUGGGGAGCAAACAGG
Molecule: ribosomal RNA, 253 nt
Filed under: uncultured bacterium
Lineage: Bacteria
Description: partial 16S ribosomal RNA
Rfam family: Bacterial small subunit ribosomal RNA
Source: RNAcentral